CAUGUGCACGCUCUGUUCACACAUCCACUCACACCCUGUGCACCCUCUGUAGUUCUAUGGUCAGGGGGCCUGUCCUCCUGCUGUGGUUCUGCAUCUUUACACACACGCCGUAACAAAGUCUCAUGGAAUGCAUGUCGCGUUUAACGCAAUACAAUACAACUUUUAGCAACGGAUCUCUUGGCUCUCGCAUCGAUGAAGAACGCAGCGAAAUGCGAUAAGUAAUGUGAAUUGCAGAAUUCAGUGAAUCAUCGAAUCUUUGAACGCACCUUGCGCCCUUUGGCCAUUCCGAAGGGCAUGCCUGUUUGAGUAUCAUGAACACCUCAACUCAUCGUGGUUUUCCAUGAUGAGCUUGGACUUUGGGGGUUUUGCUGGCCUACAGUCGGCUCCUCUAAAAUAAAUCAGCUUACCGGUGUUUGGUGGGUAUCAUGGGUGUGAUAACUAUCUACGCUUGUGGUUUUUCCACCAGGUAACCUUCAGCAGUGAAGGUUCAC
This 491-nucleotide ribosomal RNA is filed under the name uncultured fungus. Its description in RNAcentral is "eukaryotic LSU rRNA". The stretch from base 158 to 312 matches the Rfam family "5.8S ribosomal RNA". The record is from RNAcentral. Lineage: Eukaryota; Fungi.